ACUCCUACGGGAGGCUGCAGUCGAGAAUAUUCGACAAUGGGCGAAAGCCUGAUCGAGCGACACCGCGUGUAGGAUGAAGGCCUUCGGGUCGUAAACUACGGUAGUAUGGUAGGAAUGCAAAUGACCGCCAUACGGAAAGAGGUGGGUAACUACGUGCCAGCACCAGCGGUAAUACGUAGACCUCAAGCGUUAUCCGGAUUUAUUGGGCGUAAAGCGCACGUAGGAGGUUUCGCGCGUCUUCUGUUAAAGCCCAGGGCCUAACCCUGGAAGUGCAGGAGAUACGGCGGAACUAGAGGAGGUUAGAGGUGCAUGGAACUCACGGUGUAGGGGUGAAAUCCGUUGAUAUCGUGGGGAACACCAAAGGCGAAGGCAGUGCACUGGGACCUUCCUGACUCUGAGUUGCGAAAGCGUGGGGAGCAAAAAGGAUUAGAUACCCUUGUAGUCCACGCCCUAAACGAUGCCUGUUUGCAGUUUCGAGUAUCGACCCUCGGAGUG
RNAcentral lists this ribosomal RNA (495 nucleotides) under uncultured organism. RNAcentral describes it as "bacterial SSU rRNA". It matches the Rfam family "Bacterial small subunit ribosomal RNA", at positions 335 to 845 of the family's 1533-position model. The record is from RNAcentral.